RNAcentral lists this unclassified non-coding RNA (359 nucleotides) under fungal sp. RNAcentral describes it as "partial internal transcribed spacer region". The stretch from base 1 to 46 matches the Rfam family "Eukaryotic small subunit ribosomal RNA", at positions 1786 to 1831 of the family's 1831-position model. The record is from RNAcentral. Lineage: Eukaryota; Fungi.
AAGUCGUAACAAGGUCUCCGUAGGUGAACCUGCGGAGGGAUCAUUAACACUAAAGUAAUCUCACGAUUACGAACCAACAAACCCGUGAACUUGUCAUCAUUGAAGUAGUAAGGGAAGUUAGGGAAAGGCACGGUAUGUGGCGGCGAUUGCAAAGCGUCAAAGCAUACACAGUUUUCGCAAGAGAACGACCUCUCUCUGAUGGACUUGCCUGCUUAGAAUUAUUUUUCUUUGCUAUUAACCCCUUUAACCACUUUUAAUAGUCAUUCACUAACUGAUUCAAAUCAUUGAAGUCGAAAGGCUUUUGAUGAUGGUUUACGUAAAGCAGUACAACUCUUAGCAGUGGAUAUCUUGGCUUCCGU